RNAcentral lists this ribosomal RNA (292 nucleotides) under uncultured bacterium. Its description in RNAcentral is "partial 16S ribosomal RNA". The record is from RNAcentral.
GGACUACCAGGGUUUCUAAUCCUGUUUGCUCCCCACGCUUUCGUGCAUGAGCGUCAGUCACGUCCCAGGGGGCUGCCUUCGCCAUCGGUAUUCCUCCACAUCUCUACGCAUUUCACUGCUACACGUGGAAUUCUACCCCCCUCUGACGCACUCUAGCCUUGCAGUCACAAGCGCAAUUCCCAGGUUAAGCCCGGGGAUUUCACGCCUGUCUUACAAAACCGCCUGCGCACGCUUUACGCCCAGUAAUUCCGAUUAACGCUCGCACCCUACGUAUUACCGCGGCUGCUGGCAC